GUAAAUAUAGUUUAAUAAAAACAUCAGAUUGUGAAUCUGACAAUAGAAAUGAAACUCUUCUUAUUUACC
RNAcentral lists this transfer RNA (69 nucleotides) under Sicista betulina (Northern birch mouse). RNAcentral describes it as "tRNA-His". It matches the Rfam family "tRNA". From Rfam's summary of the family: Transfer RNA (tRNA) molecules are approximately 80 nucleotides in length. Their secondary structure includes four short double-helical elements and three loops (D, anti-codon, and T loops). RNAcentral also lists the same sequence under 1 other name. The record is from RNAcentral. Lineage: Eukaryota; Metazoa; Chordata; Mammalia; Rodentia; Dipodidae.